This 73-nucleotide transfer RNA is filed under the name Planctomycetales bacterium. RNAcentral's name for it is "tRNA-Ala". It matches the Rfam family "tRNA". Rfam says of the family: Transfer RNA (tRNA) molecules are approximately 80 nucleotides in length. Their secondary structure includes four short double-helical elements and three loops (D, anti-codon, and T loops). Further hydrogen bonds mediate the characteristic L-shaped molecular structure. tRNAs have two regions of fundamental functional importance: the anti-codon, which is responsible for specific mRNA codon recognition, and the 3' end, to which the tRNAs corresponding amino acid is attached (by aminoacyl-tRNA synthetases). tRNAs cope with the degeneracy of the genetic code in two manners: having more than one tRNA (with a specific anti-codon) for a particular amino acid; and 'wobble' base-pairing, i.e. permitting non-standard base-pairing at the 3rd anti-codon position. Lineage: Bacteria; Pseudomonadati; Planctomycetota; Planctomycetia; Planctomycetales. The record is from RNAcentral.
GGGGCGGUAGCUCAGCUGGGAGAGCGCUGCGUUCGCAAUGCAGAGGUCGGGAGUUCGAAUCUCCUUCGCUCCA